ACUAAUUAAAUUGAAUGCAACAUUUUCAUUUGGUUUUUGUAUCCAUAGAAUUGAUUUAAAUGGAGCUAAAUGAAAUGAAAAUCCAAUUCUCAUUUAAAGAGACAAAACCAUUUUGUUCUCAACCUAAUUUGGGCCAAAAUGCAAUAACCUCAACUUUUUGGGCUAUGUUGCAAAAACAUAAACUUUUGGGCCACUUUGUAAAAGCACAAAAGUCCACUACUUCAUGUAAUUACAACUAGAACCCAAAAAUUUCAACAAAUGCAAAAACUUCAUUAAAGGAGCAAAACAAUUUGUCCUUUAAUGAUUUUGGGCCUUUACGUAAAUACGUAAACUUUUGGGUCAAACUACAAAUUACACAAAAGUACCAAAACUUUAUGUAAUUGCAUAAAAGCCCCAAAAAACACCCCACUUGUAGGGUGGCCGGUUUUGGAGAGAAGGGAGUGAUGUGUGUUGAUUUGUAGUUUUAGACAUAAAGUCAUGCAAGUGGUGCAUGACAUAAAUGUCAUGCAAGUGGUGUGUGUGAAAGGACACCCACCAAUAUUUCCAUCACCUUUCUAAACAAAUAUCUAAUACAUUUAAACAUAUGAAAAACAUAAAACAUAAACUUUAUGAAAUAAAUCAAAACACCAAACUUUUUGUUCUUGGCAAAAAUGUCAAGAACAAUGAAGAACACUCAUGAAAAACUCAAAAAAUUUCCAUGAACAUUUUUCACCCAAAAACAUCCCAAAACCAUUCAAACUUAAGGGAAAUAACAUAAAACCAAACUAGGGUACAUAGGGGUUCCAAAAAUCCACCCUUUGGAUUUGGCCGAAAAUUCUCAAAAACAUGGCACCAAAUUUUAGCUCCAAUAUUCAUGCUCAUAUGAACUACAUCUACAACAUUUGA
Molecule: long non-coding RNA, 885 nt
Filed under: Malus domestica (apple)
Lineage: Eukaryota; Viridiplantae; Streptophyta; Magnoliopsida; Rosales; Rosaceae
Description: long non-coding RNA (MDOM_LNC009216)
Source: RNAcentral